AUGGCUGUCGUCAGCUCGUGUCGUGAGAUGUUGGGUUAAGUCCCGCAACGAGCGCAACCCUUGCCAUUAAUUGCCAUCAUUUAGUUGGGCACUUUAAUGGGACUGCCGGUGACAAACCGGAGGAAGGUGGGGAUGACGUCAAGUCCUCAUGGCCCUUAUGGCCAGGGCUUCACACGUAAUACAAUGGUCGGUACAGAGGGAAGCCAACCCGCGAGGGGGAGCCAAUCUCAGAAAGCCGGUCGUAGUCCGGAUUGUUGUCUGCAACUCGACAGCAUGAAGUCGGAAUCGCUAGUAAUCGCGGAUCAGCAUGUCGCGGUGAAUACGUUCCCGGGCCUUGUACACACCGCCCGUCACACCAUGGGAGUGGGUUUUACCAGAAGUAGUUAGUCUAUCCGCAAGGGGGACGAUUACCACGGUAGGAUUCAUGACUGGGGUGAAGUCGUAACAAGGUAGCCGUAGGGGAACCUGCGGCUGGAUCACCUCCUUUCUGGAGAUGCCGAGUAAGGCUUCCGAACCCUUCGGGGGGAGCGAAGUCGGAAAAGCUCUCACAGGUCUACCCGCUCAACUACACUCAAAACCUCGAUCUUCAUAUAAAAUGACCAGGGACACGUAUUAGGUGUCGCCCGGUCAUGCUGUUUGACAACAGAGGUCGAGAGAUGAAGUGAGAGCCUUAGGUGGCCCUGAACUUUUUAUUUGUCCGAGUUCAGGUGCCAAAUCUAUAGAAGUAUUAGCUGUGACGGCUUUUUGGUGAAAGCAAACUGGAAUAGGGGAUUGAACUUCCCGUUCACACAUGGAGAUCGAGUGCUUAGGCGCUGGUGAUCCAGGUGGGAUUCUGGUCAAGUAAGUAAGUGCGCAGUGGUGGAUGCCUAGGCACGUGUCGGCGAUGAAGGACGUGGCAAGCUGCGAUAAGCCUCGGGGAGCUGCAAGCAAGCUUAGAUCCGGGGAUGUCCGAAUGGGGAAACCCGG
RNAcentral lists this small RNA (966 nucleotides) under uncultured bacterium. RNAcentral describes it as "bacterial SSU rRNA". The stretch from base 1 to 487 matches the Rfam family "Bacterial small subunit ribosomal RNA", at positions 1045 to 1533 of the family's 1533-position model. The record is from RNAcentral.